This 137-nucleotide ribosomal RNA is filed under the name Nitrososphaerota archaeon. Lineage: Archaea; Thermoproteati; Nitrososphaerota. The record is from RNAcentral.
CUAGCCGGCCAUAGCGCGUGGGUCCGACCUGGACUCGUUCCGAACCCAGACUCGCAAGAGGGGGAGAAGUCAAACCGCGCGUCGCCCCGGUGCUACUGACUUCCGAGAGGAGUCGGGAAGCCGAGGUGCCGGCGCCU